RNAcentral lists this ribosomal RNA (492 nucleotides) under uncultured bacterium. Its description in RNAcentral is "partial 16S ribosomal RNA". It matches the Rfam family "Bacterial small subunit ribosomal RNA", at positions 29 to 507 of the family's 1533-position model. The record is from RNAcentral.
AGUGAACGCUGGCGGUAGGCCUAACACAUGCAAGUCGAACGGCAGCACAGUAAGACCUUGCUCUUACGGGUGGCGAGUGGCGGACGGGUGAGGAAUGCAUCGGAAUCUACUUUUUCGUGGGGGAUAACGUAGGGAAACUUACGCUAAUACCGCAUACGACCUACGGUUGAAACCAGGGGAUCUUCGGACCUUGCGCGAUUGAAUGGGCCGAUGUCGGAUUAGCUAGUUGGCGGGGUAACGGCCCACCAAGGCGACGAUCCGUAGCUGGUCUGAGAGGAUGAUCAGCCACACUGGAACUGAGACACGGUCCAGACUCCUACGGGAGGCAGCAGAGGGGAGUAGUGGACAAUGGGCGCAAGCCUGAUCCAGCCAUACCGCGUGGGUGAAGAAGGCCUUCGGGUUGUAAAGCCCUUUUGUUGGGAAAGAAAAGCAGCAGGUUAAUACCCCGCUGUUCUGACGGUACCCAAAGAAUAAGCACCGGCUAACUUCGUG